Molecule: non-coding RNA, 303 nt
Organism: Malus domestica (apple)
Lineage: Eukaryota; Viridiplantae; Streptophyta; Magnoliopsida; Rosales; Rosaceae
Source: RefSeq, marked provisional
UGGGUAUGUGGAAAACCAGAUGGUUGAUCAUCCAGAUGAUCAUAAUCUCCUGAAAGUGCUUGAUUCAGAAAGGAUGAAAUGGGAUGGUAUUGUCCCGACUACAGUUUCGUCAUAUGAGGGUGGAAGAAAAUGGUCGAAGUUGUACUGUUUGUCAGUAAAAGUACAGUUUCGGCCAUUUUCUUCCACUGUCCUGUGACUAAACCGUAGUCGGGCCAACACCAUCCCAUUUUGCCUUCAUCUUUUCUGAAUCAAGCACUUUCAGGAGAUUAUGAUCAUCCGGAUGAUCAACCAUCUAGUUUUCCA